AUGUUCCAAGCCGUGCAGUUUUUUAUCCACAUUGCUGAAAUGAGGGUGUUGAGAAAUGUCCAAGAUGUUGGUGGGGAAAAUCUGACGGGAAAGCUAAGGUUGUCGCCCAUGAGAAAUCUGUGGAACGAAUGGGAGAUCCACGGCCUGGUACUCGCGAGCUUGGCCUUGCAAUUCUUCCUCUUCUUCAUAGCAGGCAUGCGGAGGCGCAGCACAUCACGCAUCAUCAACGCCUUCCUGUGGCUAGCCUACCUUUCGGCUGACUCCGUGGCUGUCUUCGUCCUCGGCCACCUCGCCGUCCGUGCGAGCGGGCCACAACACGAGCUCAUUGCCUUCUGGGCGCCGUUCCUGCUCGUCCACCUGGGUGGGCAGGACACCAUCACCGCUCUCUCUGCCCAGGACAACGAGCUGUGGAUGCGUCAUCUCCUGGGCCUCGUCUCCCAGGUGGCAGUGGCCGGCUACGUCGUGUCCAAGUCAUCUUGGCCGGACAGACGGCUGCUGGCGGCCACCGUGCUCAUCUUCCUCUCUGGGACCUUCAAGUACGCUGGCCGCACCUACUGCCUUUACUCAGCCAGGCCAGCAUAUAUCAGGGAGUACUCCCAGCUUAGUUUGUCAAGAACACUAUGGAAGCUGAAGCGUGCAGCCGAAGGAGUCAAUUCACACAGAACAUCUGCGGAUGAAUUAAUCAGUGAGCUCCGGGAUUCUAUGCUUGGUGAGGUUCCCAACAUGGAUUCAUUGUUCUAUGAAGAUGCCAUGGAAAUCAUGUCGGUGGAUGCUCCUUCAAAUCCGGUGGAGAGUAUUUUAGCUCGAGAUUUUCUGCCAAGCAUGCUGGAGAAGUUUCAGUCAACUUUGUGCCUCCGGAAGCCAUAUGAGCAUGUUGGCAGAAAAUUGGUAAAAUGUUAUGAGAACUUCUACACAAAAAGUCCACUUUUACGUUUCUACGAGCUGUGUGCCAAGAUAUUUCAUUUGAGCUACGGUAUUGAAAAUUUGGUUAUUUUGUUGAUUACUGGGAUUCUCUGGCUGACAGCUAUCCUGUUCCAGUAUCUUCUAACCACAAUAGCCCUAGUGCUCUUCACCCUGGCUGAGAAAGGGCACCAAGUCCAUAAUAGAGUUGAUGUCACCGUGUCCUACAUACUGCUCAUCGGAGCCAUAAUCCUAGACGUGUCCUCUGCCUUCAUGUCCAUUCUUUCGUCUCUGAGAUCCAACCCUUCUAGAGAUUUGAGCAUGAUUAACACUGUAUUCUUGCAUGUAAUCGACUGCAUUCAGCCAACAUGGAGCAGAAAACAGUGGUCUGAGAAGAUAGCACAAUACAGCAUGGUCAAGAGGCACACCAUGGAAGAUACUGGAGGCAUGUCAUAUGUGCGGCAACGGAUUGGCAAGUAUUUUAUAGCUUGGGGUGUUGAACUAUUGGAUCCAAGCCUGACGCACACACAGGUCACCGGAGAUCUCAAGGAGUUUGUCCUCGGCAAUUUGGUACGUUUUGGGAUCAGUAAAGAAUACAAUGUUGCCAAUUUUCGUGGCCAGCUAGCGCUUCAAAAGUGCAGGCAGACGGCUCUGUAUGAUAGCAUCGAUGGUGUCAAGGAUUUCCCGACAAGCAUUCUCAUUUGGCACAUUGCAACGGAUAUUUGCUACUACUCUGGAAGCAGCAGCAUGACCAACACAGAUUGUGAAGGAUCAAAGAAGAAAAUGUGCAGAGAGCUGUCAAAUUAUAUAAUGUACCUUGUCUUCAAGUGUGGCGUGAUGCUUACCAGCAACUCCCAGCUUGUUCAUAACAAUGUUCAUGGUGAAAUGGAGAAAGUUCUUGCAGAUCAAUGGUCAAAGAUGGUUAAUCAUGGGGAGGAGGAUGUCAUGAAGGUGUUUGAAGGCACAAAAGAUGAACAACCACCCUUGACAGUGAAUGAGAAUCAGGGACAGUCGGUCAAUACAGAUAGUGCUACCUCCAGCGAUCUGAAGAAACUCCUCGAAAGGGCCGCGGAAGCUAUUUAUUCUCCAGUACUACCUCAUGCAUCCAAGGUGGCCCAGGAGCUCAUGGGUAUCGUUGAUGAAGGUGGGCGCUGGGAUCUCAUCGCCGCGGUGUGGUUGGAGAUGCUUUUAUACAUCGCGCCUCGUUGUGGAGGUGCUUUCCAUUACCAGCAUCUUUGCACUGGUGGGGAGUUCAUCACGCAUAUCCUCCUCCUCAUGCGUUCUCUAGGCCCAUUUCUACCAGGACCUGACAAUCCAGCUCCUUGA
RNAcentral lists this ribosomal RNA (2226 nucleotides) under Triticum aestivum (bread wheat). RNAcentral describes it as "partial small subunit ribosomal RNA". The record is from RNAcentral. Lineage: Eukaryota; Viridiplantae; Streptophyta; Magnoliopsida; Poales; Poaceae.